CAUUUAAGAAGUAUCUUUAUAUGUUAGGCUUUCUAAGCAGACUUCCAUUCCGCAAAGGACAAAAAGUCUUGAUUACUUUUGCAGUAAAAAAAACUUAAAUGGGGAAAUGUUUAUAUAAGUGCAGCUUGCCAGAGCCUUGAGCGCAUACAUUUCAGUCACUUCAUUUGCAAGACAACAGCAACAACCACAUUAUUAAAUGACGUGUGCUUAAUUUAGUUUUUGUGGCCUCUUCCCUCACAGCGCAGCAACACAGUUAUCUCCGCACAGCCACUGUGGUCUAAAGUGCUUAGCAUUUACAUGCUAUGCUGUGUGUGAUGGAAAUGUGAGUUAGUGUAAGUGGUCGGGAAAAUAAUAAUUCAUAAAUGCAAUUACACAUGCAUUUCCAUAAGAGUUUUAUGAGUUUUUAUGCAAACAAAAAAGGGAUGGAAAUGCAUAUGCUGCGUUUGAAAGCCUGCAAUGAGAUAAAGAGCGCCUCUAUGUUUCCAUGGAGUUUUCUAACGCUGUGCUGGCGGUACAUAUGCAGACAAACACAAUGCUGUAAGCUUAUAAUCCUUGCAACAUAAAUCUUACUAACACACAUUUACUGUUAUGUGUAUUUUGUCUUCACGAUUGCAAUGUUACCUUCGUCAAGAAUUUUUAAUAAACACAUUUUGUACUUAAACCACACAAGUGAGCUGCACUCAAGUGGCAGCGCGUGCGUGCGUGUGUCUGCUGCUCAAGUCGUAAACAUGUGGGUAAAACCACUAUACAGUUACUUGGCCGCUCAUACAUUAGUAACGGAUAUAAAUAAUGGCAGCAGCAAAAUGCAGCAAUGUUUGAUGGAGAGUAUGUAGUUACUUUUGAAAGUAGUUCCGUAACUAGUAAAAUCAAGUGGUACUAGUCUGUAGCGUGUAGAAUGGCGAUAAUAAGUGGUGUAUGCAAAAUGCGUUUUUGAUUUCUGAAAUCCAUCAGUACUUACUUUAUUAACCCAAAUGGUACUAGUAUGUAACUGUGAAUAAGUGAUAUAGUAAAAUAUAUAAUAAUGCUUAUAACAAUGCGGAAAUGUAGAUUUUUUAUUAAAAAGCUGUGGUUACAUUAGGUUGUAGUUCCAUAACUAGUUCAAUUUUAACCGCAAAAGUACUAAUGCUUAAUUUGGACCAUUUGAUGAAUUAUAUCUACUGUUAAACUCAAAAAAUUAAAAGGCGUAUGUGGUUACAUAUGGAAGUAGUUACAUAACUAGACAAUUUUCGACACAAAGUGAACUAGUAUGCAUUUAUGAAAAUGUAGUUUUUUUUAACCUGUAUAAAAAUUAGUUGCUAAAUAAUUUGAUUAAAAAAAAUUUCUAGGACUAGUGUUAUUUAUGUCUCAAACGGUGCUAGCCUAUUAACUUUGUUUUCAGUAAAGCUUUAUUUAUUGUUAUUUUUUUUUGUUGCAGACUUUUCAUCAUUCAAAAAGCUGUCAUCGUUUAUGUCAGAUAUCUGUGAUUUUUUAAGUCAAAUUUUGGAAGCGUUUUGGUCACAGUGGCAGAUUCAAGGGCUGUUUAUCACACCGUUCUUGUACGACAAAUGCAAUUAAAAGUGAGUCGAAAAUGCAAUAAGUCAAGCAAAGUUUUGCCCGACACUCGGCACUUGGCACUUGGCGCACGACGACAAAAUAUGUACCCAAAGCACACCAGACACACUUUGAAGUCUUGCAAGAAGCAAAAGGUGAUUAUGAGUAGCGAAGCAGCGGAAGCAGGUUCGGAGCAGAAGCUGACUAAUUUGGCAAAAAAACUACUUCAUUAACGGUACAACUGACUAUAACGGCAUGAAGUGUUUUAAGUUGAUUUAUGUGACUAUGCGUAUGUAUGGGUGCACCAGAACGGUAAUGAGUGCAGCGAGGAAGUGUUUAUGGCUGCCGGGAGAGGAAGGUGUUUUUUUCUGCCCAAAGCUGACUCAUCUAAUAGAUAUAGCAAUGCCGGCCAAAAGAUUUAGCA
This is a long non-coding RNA of Bactrocera dorsalis (oriental fruit fly), 1954 nucleotides long. RefSeq lists it as uncharacterized. The transcript is spliced from 4 exons. The record is from RefSeq and is a predicted model, not a curated record. Lineage: Eukaryota; Metazoa; Arthropoda; Insecta; Diptera; Tephritidae.